UACGUAGGGUGCGAGCGUUAAUCGGAAUUAUUGGGCGUAAAGGGUGCGUAGGCGGCGGAGUAAGUUGGGUGUGAAAUCCCGGGGCUUAACCUCGGAAUUGCAUUCAAUACUGCUUCGCUCGAGUACUGGAGAGGAGGCUGGAAUUUACGGUGUAGCAGUGAAAUGCGUAGAUAUCGUAAGGAAGGCCGGUGGCGAAAGCGAGCCUCUGGACAGUUACUGACGCUGAUGCACGAAGGCCAGGGGAGCAAACGGG
RNAcentral lists this ribosomal RNA (253 nucleotides) under uncultured bacterium. Its description in RNAcentral is "partial 16S ribosomal RNA". It matches the Rfam family "Bacterial small subunit ribosomal RNA", at positions 524 to 776 of the family's 1533-position model. The record is from RNAcentral.